RNAcentral lists this transfer RNA (72 nucleotides) under Longimonas halophila. It matches the Rfam family "tRNA". From Rfam's summary of the family: Transfer RNA (tRNA) molecules are approximately 80 nucleotides in length. Their secondary structure includes four short double-helical elements and three loops (D, anti-codon, and T loops). The record is from Rfam by way of RNAcentral. Lineage: Bacteria; Pseudomonadati; Rhodothermota; Rhodothermia; Rhodothermales; Salisaetaceae.
GCCGCCUUAGCUCAGAGGUAGAGCACUUCCAUGGUAAGGAAGGGGUCCCCGGUUCAAAUCCGGGAGGCGGCU